Varanus komodoensis (Komodo dragon) is the source of this 8596-nucleotide long non-coding RNA. RefSeq lists it as uncharacterized. The record is from RefSeq and is a predicted model, not a curated record. The transcript is spliced from 2 exons. NCBI's taxonomy places the organism in Eukaryota, Metazoa, Chordata, Lepidosauria, Squamata, Varanidae.
AAAGGAUGCAGGCUGUCUUCGGUGCUGCGCAUGCGUUUUUCGUGAGUGCGUUUCUGAGCUACAGUUAAUGGGCCUUUUGUCGCUGUGUUCGAUGGAGGCAGUAGCAUCGCCUUAGAGACCUCUCAAACAUCUGACAUUUACCGUAUGUGCCUCUUCCAUUGUGCAACUUUGGCCACCCCUGAAAGUGAACAUGGAAUGCAAGACGGAUGAAUCAAGGCAAGCUGGAAACAGUAAAGCAAGAUAUGGAAUGCUUAAACAUCACAAUAUUUGGGAUGAAAUAACUAAAGUGGACUGGAAUAGGGCACAUUCAGUCAAAUGCUAAAUGUUUUACUCCAGAAAUGCAAAACUCAGAAGAAAUGGACUGACUCUUGUAUUGAAGCAAGGUGUUCAGGCAGUAAGGAGCUAUAAUGCAAAAUCUAACCAAAUAAUAUCAGAGUUUGUAGAAAAUCUAUCAAAGUAGCCAUCAUUCAGUGGAGGAAGCAAAAAAGAUCAUUAAGUGUAAAGGAUGUUUCACUGGAGAUGGACAGGAUCAUCCGCACUGGUGUAUUCCCUGUCACUAUGUAUGGGUGUGAAAGCUGGACUGUGAAAACAGCUGACAGGAAAAAAAUGGAGGAGAGCUUAAUGAAUACUACUGACUGACAGAAAGAUAAACAAGUGGGUCCUAAAUCAAAUGAAGCAGGAUUUUCGCUGAAAGGAAAAAAAAGUUUCUUCUGUGGGAUUAGUCUAGAAGACUGUUCAGAAGAUUCAUUUUGUGCAUUUUGCAGUAACUGGUACAGGGUAUCAAGAUCACAUUACAACUUCAUUGAAAUUCCUGUACUGGUUGCAAGUUGCUAUCUCAGCCCAAUUCAAGUUGUUGGUGUUAUCUUUAAUUCUCCAAACAGUUUAGUGCCUGUCUCUCAGUUCAAAUUAAGUUCCCUGUUGAAAUUAAAAAGAACUGUCUGUAGAAGCAGCAAUAACAAAACCAAGGGUAUUGUACUUUAGGCACAUCAUGAGAAAAACAAGACUCACUGAAGAGUUCAAUUAUACUAGGGAAAGUCAGAGGUGCAAGAAGAGGAGGUAGACCAAAUAGAAGAUGGAUUGGCAGCAUAAAGGAAAUUACAGCCUCAAAUUUACAAAAGCUGAGCUGGGCUGUGAAGAAUGGAACAUUUUGGAGAGCUUUCAUUCAUGGGGUUGCCAUAAAUCAGAGACAACAUGAUGGUACAAAAACAACAGAGUUAAUAACAAACUGGAUAUGACAUUGCAUGUGAAGGGUCAGGAAUGGAGCUUGAGAUUAAUAAACAUAUGAUCAAAGAACACCUAAUUUCUUUGAAUGAGUUCAGAUCUCCAGGGCUGUGCAUGUAGGCAGGUAGGGAUGCUCUAGUGUCAAGGGUUUUCUACUCUAAAUCCUUUCUCCUGAAGUCAUGUUUUUGAAAUGUAAAUACACCUGUAUUAAUUGACUUAGAUGAUGAUAGCAGGCCUGUCCAGACAUUCAGAAGAAUAUAUGAAGACUUAAGUGAAAGGAUGAGGCUGUACAUACCCAUAUAACCCAACCCUCUCAGUUCAGGUCCUAGUGUUAAUCUAGCAAAAUCUGAAUAGUUUUAUUUGCAUUUGCUUGAACAGGAUGAGAACACCCAUAUCUUUGAGCCAUCAGUUGCAGCAGGACCUUAUGAAAUUGAGAGUUUGGUGAGCCAGAAUGAUUGCCCUCUGCUCAAAACUGCUCCAGCAUAGGCUAUGAAAGAGCGAGGAACUCAAGCACAGUCAAUAAGAGAUACCUGAAAAGCAAGGAAGUUACUAGCAUGAAAUGCAGGACAGGGAUUCUCUUUUAUUCUUGUUAAUCUUUUUUUUUUUUGGUAAAUAAUAAACAGAAAGGAAAACAUGGAAUCUGUUUCCAUAGAUUUGGGGUUUUCUUAAAGUUCAAUAGAUGAGAGGUACUUGCUUAGAAAAAUAAAGGAUACUUGGAGUUGAGUUUGCCCUCUGGAGAGCAGAAGAGCAGCAGGCUACCUGCAGCCAUCAGCCAGAGGACCUAGGACCAGUGGGAGGCUGGAGGAAUAAAUUCAACUCGAAUUCUUAGGCUCCAUUCAUCAGCUCACACAACAAGAGCCACCAACUGCUAUUCAAACAGGUUGUCAGCAAGGAAAGAACAACCUGUUCUGCUGUGUAUUUAUUUAUAUCUCCACUUAUAAUUCACUGUCUUUCAAUGAAAAUGCUUGAAAAUUAAUCUCCCAUGUGUUUGUUUUCCUUCUGUUCCCAUUAUUUUCCAUAUUUUGUCAAUUUAGUUUGUAAACAUUAUGAUGGGGCAUAGCUCCUUUUUACUCAUGUCAGCCAAUUUAGGAAGAAUAUCUGAAAAACAGAAUAAAAAUGGGGCAAAUAAAAAUAUAAAUUAAAAACAUCAUGACAGAUGAGAGGUAAAUAUGCUAUUCUGACUGAAUGUAAUGAUAACAGAAACCCUGUUCAGACAUUCAGGAGAAUAUGUGAGAGGUUAAAACAUAUAAAGGGUGGGGGGAAAUGCUGUACACCUUGGCCCUGUCUCUUCACUUAAGACCUUGCAGUGUCAGCCCAGCACAGUGCUCCUCAUGUUUGCUUGAAUGUAAGCAGAAGGCUUAGCAGAGUUGGGACCUUGCCUUAGCAGUGAGCUCACAGACCCUGCCUGGGCUCCUGUAGGGUAACAAGAAACCCAGCACGUCUCAAGAUGUUCUGCAAAACUAGGAGAGCUUUCAAAAGGGGACAGAGCUUUCAAACAGUAAGACAAAGAAAGUUUGUCCAAGGGAUAGCAUCCUCCAUGCGAAAGGCAUGGUAAGGAUUCAGUACAAUUUCUGGAUGACAUUGAUUCCUCUGUUGAAACAGAGUUGGCAUCCUCAUCUCACUUUUCUACUAAAUCAUCGGUCGAAACUGGCGAUGAUUCACGGGCACGCAGCGACAAGCACUCGGAGACUGGCUGAGGGCAAGACUCGCUCAGCAGGGGACUGGGUGAAGCAUCAGCUCUCCCGCCUCCUCGCUGUCGUGUCUUGUGCUUCUCCCUCUCCGCUGAAAGCGUAAAGACUACCCAACAAGGUAAUCGUUUUCGGGGACAAAAACCCCGCGCUCUCAGCUGCUGCCCUCCUCGCUCUCUGCCCCUUUGGAAAGUGACGGUCUGGGCGCGCGCGCGCGCGCGCAGGCAAUGGCAGCCUGCAAGUCUGCUGCUCGGCUGUUUGGUUCAGUUACUGUCUCGGCGCCCGGGGCGAUCCCUGGGAUGGAAGGAAGGAAAUUCGUCUAGUUUACCUUCAAGUCGUUUAGGAAUUUCAAGGCUGCCGCAGCAGCGUUUGAUGUUUGGGGAAAGUGACUGAAGUGUUUCUUCUCUUUCAAGCUGAUUCAGAGUCAUAACAGGUAGUAGUAGCUAGGAAGUCAAUAGAUAGCUGGCCUAUAUAAAUAGCAGUCCCAUAAAUCCACCGAAUGCUAAUGAACUGCCCACCUCUUAGAUUCAUUCAAACUCGUCUCCAUUCUUGAAAAGAUUUUUUGAUGGGUCUUCCAUUUGGAAGACCAUGUCUUUCCAUCCAUGUAGCAGUCAUUUUCCUCUUCUCCCUAUUGUUAGGGAUGCAACAAUGAAAAUCCUACGCACACUAACUUCGAAAAGAAUACUUUGAACGAAUGGAACUUCAAAGAAAAAAAAUGCAGUGCUUCUAGCUACAAAGAGAUCUGCCAGAUUAUAUACCUGACACUUUAUAUGUUGAAGCUGCUUGUGAGCAUGCACACAUUUUGUAUUUGGUUCACACUAAAGAAAGCCUGUGGGGGAUUUGCUGGCCAAAGCACAGGAAUGAAAAUAAGCAUUCAUGGGUCUGGUCAUGUGUUAGAGCAAAGCAGUUCUCAAGCAAGAUUCUCAGGGUACAGGAGGUUUAAGCUUUUGGCUAAUAAUAGUAAUAGUAUUCCAUUGCAUGUUUCUACAAGGAAAAAUUCCUAACAAAAUGGCAGAACCAUUACUAUAUAGGGACCUAGAUUUAACUAUCAACAUGUUUUAUUAUGGUAUAACACACAUACCAUAUAUUCUCAUCCAGUAUGCAGGAAAAAGAACAGGAUGAUUUGCAGGCAAUAUGUAUUGGCAGGCAAUAUCAUACUAAAUCAGUAUGAGGAGCCCCAGCCAAUGUUUUUUCUUCUCUGUGUGAAUUGAUAUAGAGGAAGGCGUGUUUCCAAGCAGACAAAUAGAUAAGAAAUUUCAGUCUUGCUCCUCAUGGAACAUCAUAAAUAUGUUGCCACUGGGAGAAUAACUAGUCUGUGACUGCCUUCAACAGCUUGUGUGUAUUUUCAAACUGUGCUACAGGUACAGACCUGACCACAAAGUUCCCCUAAGAAUGAAGCACAUUUUUUUAGUUUUGAAGAAUGUUUAAAAAUACAAAUAACCAAAUAUUUUGGGUAUAAAUGGGUUUGUUCUGACUCCAAAUAGUUUAACAAUGGGGUGGAGUGGGGAAAGGGUCUAUGUGCUUAAUUCUUGGCAGUGUUGGCAGGGACAAAAGGUGGCACUGGCCAAACACCAGCCUAGAAAGGUAGGCUGUUAACAUCUCUUUUGACUAACUCGGACUGAGCCAGGAGAAUAUCAGACUUUAUAAGAAGCGCUUAAGUCUUAUACAACAAGUGGCAUCCUCUCUUUCAAAUCUCUAAGCUUGAGACCUUCAACUGUAGCAAUAGCCAAGAGCAAAGCUUUGGAGCUGGAGUUACUACCAAGGCUCAACUAAAUGAAUGCAGUAUUUCUAUUAUGAUAGGUGGUAAGUUAAUUUACAAAAAGAGAAAAAGGGCUACCAUAAAGCAAACAGAGCAAUAUUUGGAAACAGUACUUAUCAAAGCAAAAUAAUAGAACUGGCUAAAACCUGCCUAUUAAUAACAAAGAAUGGGCCUUCAGUAGGACAAGGUCAAACAGAACCAAUUGAAACCCAAGAUGAAAAAGAGCCAAUGGGCAACUGAACCUCACCCCUGCUUCAUAUCUUCAAACCAUUCACAAAACUAACAGCUAGGAGUAUGAACACCUACUAUUAUUUUUUUUACCAGACUCCAAUAAAAUACACUGUAGCUCCUGAAAGCCUGAAAUCCACCUACCCCGUAUUGAUUCCAAUGAGUGACUGGUAAAUGCAAAUUCAUAUAGCAAUAUAUAGCAUUUACAAAUUGUUUGUAAAGGUAUCAGAAGGCACAAUACGUUCCAGCUAUAGAACUAUGGUUUUUAGGGAACAGUGUGUUUGAGUUUGGCUCUAGUUGCUUGUUCACAUCUCAGCUCACUGGAUAGACUUAGGACAUUUGUUACAUCUAGCUUUAAAUAAAUUUAAAAGUUUUAAAUAAAUAAGAGAGGGAGGAUUUCCAGAACCAAGGUCAGAGAAAGUGCUCCACCCUUGAAGCAGAGCCCCUUCUCUCCUGCCCUUUGCAGCUGCAAUGGGAAGAGCCAUGCUGGCUGCCCUCCAAGGUCAGAAAAGCAGCCAUGGAGAAGGGGUUUUUCAGGGAAGGAAAGAAACCAGACAGGGCAAGGUAGGAGCUAUUCUGAUAUUUCUGCAGCCUCCUUCCCUCCCCGCACUCUCAAAAUGCUCAGCUAAAGAGGCAAUAAAGCCCAUCUGGGAGAAAAUGCAGUGCAAGAGAACAGAGAGGUGAUUGCAGUGUUUGAUCAGAGGCUUCUGAGUUAAGGGGCUUGUGGCCAUCACCACAGACUUGCGCCUUUAAUAAAGAUAUAUAGAAAAAUAAACAUGUUAUUAGUGCUUUAAGGGUAGCUUGUUUUAAAUAGCAUGCAUAUUCAUAUGCCAGAUAUUGCUAUGGAAGGGAAAGUAUUUGUUUACAUUCUCAUUCUCUAAGAACACUCAUACCCCAUUAACGUUUUAACGAAAAAUAUUCAGAGGAUGCUGUGUUGAAACAUUAGCAUUUGUACAAGAGAAAUAAGGUGAUUUACAACAUCUCAUUAGCCACAGACAGACAUGCUAUGUAUGUGAGUGAAAGUAACUUGCAAAGAUAAGUUUUCCAUAUAGCUGUUUACACAAAUGCAUGAACUUGUGGAUUUGCUUCAAGAGUUUUAGGUGACAGACACUUAAAAUUGAUGUUCACAAGGUGCUUUUCUUAUAUAUGGAGUCCAUCCUAUGUAUGAAACUGAUACUGAAUGGAUUCUUGCUUAUUUAAGCUGCUGCUGCAAAUUUUAAGGCAGUCAUUAUGGCCUUGUAACAUUAUUUAUCAUAUCUUCCUGUGGGUUGUUUCCUCAAAAAAUGUUAGGAGCUGAAAUGCAAGAGACCUGCUCCACUGCAGGUAUAAUCAAGUUCUGCUGUAGGUGCUUUGCUACUUUGGAGUUUUUAGAGAGAAACUGUAUCAGUCAAAUCUUCAAUGUGGAAUACUGGAAUAUUGUGUUCAGUUCAGGUUGCCUUACUAGAAAAAGGACAUUGGUGGGAGGCCCAGGACAGAUAAAGUACUCCUUCACAUAGUGUAUUGUUAAACUAUGGAAUUUGCUGCCAUGUGAAGUGGUGAUGUCUGCCAGUCUGGAUGGCUUUAAAAAGGGACUGGACAGACUCACAAGGGAGGAAGGUAUCAGUGGCUACCAGCCUUGCUAGUUGUGUGCUGCCUCCUUUACCAGAAGUGGUAUGACUGACUACACCAGUAACUGAAGUCUUACACUCAUCCUGCUUGGGGGAUCCUGUGAGCAGCUGUGUAUGGAGUGCUGAACUAGAUGGACCAUUGGUCUGAUCCAGCAUGACUUGAUGUUCUUAUGUUCUUAGUCUGUCUGCCAUCAUGUGGGCAUGUGCACAAGCACACAGGCACUCAUGCAGUUACAGAAGAUGAACAUAUGUAGAUCAAUUUUUAAAAGGCAAGCUUGUGAUGAUGCUUUCAUUCUAAUACAUACCUACCCAUCCCACUCUUAUUCUCCACACAUCCCACUAUACGAAACAAUAUGAAAGAAGGGGUGGACAUGUUUCUUCUGUGACAGGAACUACCCUUUUCUCAUUGUGACAGCUUGUUUUAUUGUAAGCCACCCAGAGAGCCCUAUGGGCUAUGGGGUGGUAUAUAAAUGUAGUAGUAGUAGUAAUAAUGUAGAGAGGGGGAAUGAUGCAAAAUGAUUGACAUCAGAAUUCUGCACCAAGUGUUCUGAACUACUGUCCAUGGCAGCUGUACAUAGUGGAGCAAAUAAUACAAGGGAUUGCCAAAGAACAGAUUAUUUCAGCAAGUGGUUUAACUAGCUGGAGCAGAUAAAAUCUACUCCUAAGCUGCUGUUGCUGCUAAAACAUCAAACAGCAAAGCUGAGUAGCAUACCAAGUCUAUAUAUGUCUUUCUACCUGGAAGACUUAAGGAAAUAAAGAGCCUUCAGAAACACAGAAUCAGAUGAGGCCAACUUGAAGAUUACUUUUUUUUGUGGCACACCAAAAUACCACACUGUGGUGCUGCAGCCUUUUUUUGCUCACUAUUCUAUUUCUAUGACACAGUAACUUUUUGUCAGCAUGGCAUGCAACUUUCUGUUCCCAAAUAUAUUUCUUUCCCCCUUUUAAAUUAUGCAGAUAGUACCCUUGUGGGUUGUUCCCAAUCUUCUCACCUUCACUAGAUUUAUGAUUAAUUUAAUUCAUUAUUCUGUAUUAUCCUUUUAUGACUGGGACUGCAUUGCAUCAGAUAACGUUCUUUUUUUUUUUUUUUUUGAUAUUUCAAUCAUCUUUCUAAGAGUACAUGACCAAACAGGGAAAUAGAAUGCACUGUAUAUCCACAGUGAGAUGUGAUAGGUACAUGAAGCUGUAGAUGGCAGAGCUACACCGGUAUAUUGUAGGCAACUCAGUAUGCUAUCCAUUGUUCUGCCUCUACUCUUAAGUGCCAUCAGAACUGUCAUCAGUAGAUCUUAUUUAAAGUAUCAGUUAUCCAAAUCCAUUCUUUCAAAUAGGAUGGCGAGUAAGCAGAUCAACAAUACACUCAUCUGCCAUACACACACCAAAAAGAAGCUCUGUUGAAGUUCUUUUAGAUUCACUGUACAGAGCCCAUCAGAAGGGCAGUGGUUUGCAUUAUAAGUUGCUCCAGUUGGUAAUUUGUUUUGCCACAUGCAAACCCUUGGGAAUUUGCCAAUCUACUUAAAUGUUUUUAAUCAUUAUUUUAAUUAGUAGUGCAGCACUCCCCCACCAAGCCACAUUUGUGAAGGCUGUUGUGCCUGGGAGUUCUGGGUACCUGGAGAUGGCUAUUUGUGAUCAGAAUUUAGCAUGCCUCUGUUCAGACCUCCUCUAGAGAAAUGGCUUGGAAGCUAUUUUAAGUGUUUUACAAGAAACAUGACCAGGACAGAGAAGUGAAAAUUACAUUUUAAAAGCCAGUGAUGCAGAAGUUCCUAAAGCAAUAUAAGUAGUCAAAUCAAGAACAAUAUUUCAUCAUUGCAAUCCACUACAAGGCUCUGAAGGACUGGUUAUUGUCUGAUAUUGCAAUAUUUAAUUUCUUAGCACUGCUUCAUGUUUGGCAUCUUUAAACAGAAAACAACUUUGUCUUCCAUUCUAGCAUGCAGUUGAUAAGAAGUGACAAUCCUGUACAUGUGAGAGUUAGUGUAGGUGCAUCUGGUAUAGACAUGCUAAAAGACCACAGCCAAUCACACUUUUCAGUGUCUGCUUACAAAAAUUUAUACGCCCAUAGGAUUGUUAUGUAAGAAACUGAAGAUGGAAAUUAAAUCAAA